Pantherophis guttatus is the source of this 441-nucleotide non-coding RNA. The record is from RefSeq and is a predicted model, not a curated record. NCBI's taxonomy places the organism in Eukaryota, Metazoa, Chordata, Lepidosauria, Squamata, Colubridae.
UGGGUGGAUAAGAAGAAAUGAAUGUUUAUUCCAGCUAAGUAGGAAGAAAUACAUCUUCAACUUCCAAGAAAUGAAUGAAGAAAUGCUACUCCUUUAUUGCAUACGACCACAAUAAAUUGAAUUGAGUCAAUGGAAGCUAAGCUUAAAGAAAUAAAAUAUCAUGGAAAGAAAACUAAAAAGUGCAAGAGAAAAAGAAAGAAGAAAAAGAAAGAACACAAUAAAGAAAUAUAUAUAUAAAAGACCUUCAACUAUCCAACCUUCAUUGCAAAUAUAAAGGCUCCCCCUUGCCUGCCUUCUGCUUCUGGCCUUCUUCUUCUGCCUUCUUAUCCUGUCCUCCUCAUCCUCGCAUCCAUCAUAAGAGCAGACUUCCUGGAAACUGUUGACCGAGAUGCUUCAAUAUAUACAUGAAAUCAUAGUAUCAUAGGCCUGCAAGGGAAUUUG